This 541-nucleotide ribosomal RNA is filed under the name uncultured bacterium. RNAcentral describes it as "bacterial SSU rRNA". It matches the Rfam family "Bacterial small subunit ribosomal RNA", at positions 1 to 544 of the family's 1533-position model. The record is from RNAcentral.
UAGAGUUUGAUCCUGGCUCAGAUUGAACGCUGGCGGCAUGCCUUACACAUACAAGUCGAACGGCAGCACGGGAGCAAUCCUGGUGGCGAGUGGCGAACGGGUGAGUAAUAUAUCGGAACGUGCCCAGUCGUGGGGGAUAACGCAGCGAAAGCUGUGCUAAUACCGCAUACGAUCUACGGAUGAAAGCGGGGGAUCGCAAGACCUCGCGCGAUUGGAGCGGCCGAUAUCAGAUUAGCUAGUUGGUGGGGUAAAAGCUCACCAAGGCGACGAUCUGUAGCUGGUCUGAGAGGACGACCAGCCACACUGGAACUGAGACACGGUCCAGACUCCUACGGGAGGCAGCAGUGGGGAAUUUUGGACAAUGGGCGCAAGCCUGAUCCAGCAAUGCCGCGUGCAGGAUGAAGGCCUUCGGGUUGUAAACUGCUUUUGUACGGAACGAAACGGCUCUUUCUAAUAAAGAGGGCUAAUGACGGUACCGUAAGAAUAAGCACCGGCUAACUACGUGCCAGCAGCCGCGGUAAUACGUAGGUGCGAGCGUUAU